Molecule: long non-coding RNA, 458 nt
Organism: Osmerus eperlanus (European smelt)
Lineage: Eukaryota; Metazoa; Chordata; Actinopteri; Osmeriformes; Osmeridae
Exons: 3
Source: RefSeq, a predicted model, not a curated record
GCGGAAACAAAUGCAGCUGGGACUUCAAAGAGUAUGCACAUGGGACCGGCUGGUAUCAGUCGUAGUGGCUGCUGGUGAGCUUCCCAUCACAGGAAAAAAGUUGAACCAGAGAUCAGUCAUGCCUGCAUACCUAAUCAGUGUCAGAUGUGCCUACACAACUUGGUGGCCAACAUGCGGCACAGCCACAUAAGACAAGAGCAGGCCCAGGAAAGGCAACCCUGAUGGGGGACGCACUCCUGACGACCUGGGGCCUGGAAGGCUGCCUCAGCUGGAACCAGCAGCCAUAGCAGCAGCCAGCCUGUCUGCCUCAUCUAUCAUCCCUCUGCUGCAGAGGGCUACAUAUUAAGAGGUUGUUUUUACUGCUGAUUCGUCAUGCUACUGGAAGGGAUUCAAGAGGCCAUUCUGGGGAUGACUUCACAGGUUGUGUAAAACGCUGGGCCGUGUUCGUAAAUCUAUUA